GAUGAACGCUGGCGGCGUGCCUAACACAUGCAAGUCGAACGAAGCACCUUACCGGAUUCUUCGGAUGAAGGUCUGGUGACUGAGUGGCGGACGGGUGAGUAACGCGUGGGUAACCUGCCCUGUACAGGGGGAUAACAGCUGGAAACGGCUGCUAAUACCGCAUAAGCGCACGAGGAGACAUCUCCUAGUGUGAAAAACUCCGGUGGUACAGGAUGGGCCCGCGUCUGAUUAGCUGGUUGGCAGGGUAACGGCCUACCAAGGCAACGAUCAGUAGCCGGUCUGAGAGGAUGAACGGCCACAUUGGAACUGAGACACGGUCCAAACUCCUACGGGAGGCAGCAGUGGGGAAUAUUGCACAAUGGGGGAAACCCUGAUGCAGCAACGCCGCGUGUGAAGAAGUAUUUCGGUAUGUAAAGCUCUAUCAGCAGGGAAGAUAAUGACGGUACCUGACUAAGAAGCUCCGGCUAAAUACGUGCCAGCAGCCGCGGUAAUACGUAUGGAGCAAGCGUUAUCCGGAUUUACUGGGUGUAAAGGGUGCGUAGGUGGCAGUGCAAGUCAGAUGUGAAAGGCCGGGGCUCAACCCCGGAGCUGCAUUUGAAACUGCUCGGCUAGAGUACAGGAGAGGCAGGCGGAAUUCCUAGUGUAGCGGUGAAAUGCGUAGAUAUUAGGAGGAACACCAGUGGCGAAGGCGGCCUGCUGGACUGUUACUGACACUGAGGCACGAAAGCGUGGGGAGCAAACAGGAUUAGAUACCCUGGUAGUCCACGCCGUAAACGA
Molecule: ribosomal RNA, 777 nt
Filed under: uncultured bacterium
Lineage: Bacteria
Description: bacterial SSU rRNA
Rfam family: Bacterial small subunit ribosomal RNA
Source: RNAcentral